CAAUAGCGUAUAUUUAAGUUGUUGCAGUUAAAAAGCUCGUAGUUGGAUUUCGGUUGAGAACGGCCGGUCCGCCGUUUGGUGUGCACUGGCUGGUUUCAACUUCCUGUAGAGGACGUGCUCUGGCUUCACGGCUGGACGCGGAGUCUACGUGGUUACUUUGAAAAAAUUAGAGUGUUCAAAGCGGGCUUACGCUUGAAUAUUUCAGCAUGGAAUAACACUAUAGGACUCCUGUCCUAUUUCGUUGGUCUCGGGACGGGAGUAAUGAUUAAGAGGAACAGUUGGGGGCAUUCGUAUUUCAUUGUCAGAGGUGAAAUUCUUGGAUUUAUGAAAGACGAACUUCUGCGAAANCANNNGCCAAGGAUGUUUUCAUNAA
RNAcentral lists this ribosomal RNA (373 nucleotides) under uncultured eukaryote. RNAcentral describes it as "partial 18S ribosomal RNA". It matches the Rfam family "Eukaryotic small subunit ribosomal RNA", at positions 592 to 976 of the family's 1831-position model. The record is from RNAcentral.